GUAUUUAUAUGGUAAAUAAUAUUUGUAUUCUAAGCUCUUUAUGUUAAGGAGUAAAUAAUUUUUAAUAGAAGGUAUAUUUAUUAGUUUUGUUUUCCAAAAAUAGGUUUAGAGUUAGUACUGGCGAAACUUGUGCCAGCCGCCGCGGUUAUACAGGUGGUGCAAGGAUAUAUUGUUGAGGGAGAAAAAGAUUUUUUUUGGAUUGUUACAUUUAGGUGAAAUUUAUGUAUAAGUUUGGGAUUUUGAUUUUAAGAAGUUUUUGGGUUAAAUUAGGAUUAGAUACCCUAUUAUUCAUUUAUUUGAGGUUGGUAGUAUUUUAUAGGUUUAUAAAUCAAAAGGUUAUGGCGGUAUUUUAAGCUAUUUAGAGGAAUUUAUUCUUUAAUGGAUAUGGCUCAGGGAUCUUACUUAGGUUGGUAAGGCGGUUUGUAUAUCGCUAUCAUGUAAUAAUAUUGAUUGAUUUAUGAUUGAGAUGGUGUUUAGCAAAAAUGUUAGGUCAAAAUGCAGCAAAAAUUUAAGGUUGAAAUGAAUUACUUUUAUUGAUAUAUGUUAUUUUGAAAAUUGGAUUGAGGAUUUAAUAGUAAAUUGAAAUUAUAAUGUUUGAUUGAAUUUAGCUCUGAGAUAUGCACAUAUCGCCCGUCACUCUCAGCGAUGAGAUAAGUCGUAACAAAGUAAGGGUACCGGAAGGUGUCUU
RNAcentral lists this non-coding RNA (688 nucleotides) under Ornithodoros savignyi. The record is from RNAcentral. Lineage: Eukaryota; Metazoa; Arthropoda; Arachnida; Ixodida; Argasidae.